GACGAACGCUGGCGGCGUGCUUAACACAUGCAAGUCGAACGGAAAGGCCCUGCUUUUGUGGGGUGCUCGAGUGGCGAACGGGUGAGUAACACGUGAGUAACCUCCCCUUGACUUUGGGAUAACUUCAGGAGACUGGGGCUAAUACCGGAUAGGAGCUCCUGCUGCAUGGUGGGGGUUGGAAAGUUUCGGCGGUUGGGGAUGGACUCGCGGCUUAUCAGCUUGUUGGUGGGGUAGUGGCUUACCAAGGCUUUGACGGGUAGCCGGCCUGAGAGGGUGACCGGCGUCAUUGGGACUGCGAUACGGCCCAGACUCCUACGGGAGGCAGCAGUGGGGAAUAUUGCACAAUGGGCGGAAGCCUGUUGCAGCAACGCCGCGUGCGGGAUGACGGCCUUCGGGUUGUAAACCGCUUUCGCCUGUGACGAAGCGUGAGUGACGGUAAUGGGUAAAGAAGCACCGGCUAACUACGUG
RNAcentral lists this ribosomal RNA (468 nucleotides) under uncultured bacterium. Its description in RNAcentral is "partial 16S ribosomal RNA". It matches the Rfam family "Bacterial small subunit ribosomal RNA", at positions 28 to 507 of the family's 1533-position model. The record is from RNAcentral.